GAAGCAUAUGGGGGAAGCAGCAAGGAUUGAACUGCCUGAAGUUUAUAAAAUUAAUUAGAAUUAUCUGUUCUCUCUCUUUUACUCCAAGGGGAAGGAACCUGCAUGAGUGUCUGAUUCUACAGCCAGCUGUUUUUGAUCCCACAGUGGAGAUGGAUCCAUUAGGUAGAACUGUGUGUUUUCUUUCUUCUGGCUCUACUUGGAAAGUUGGUCAGCGUCUUUGCCGAUAUCUUGUAUUUGAGGCUUUGUACCACAGGUCGUGAUUGAUUUACCACAUGUGAGUAUUUGCAUUU
This 290-nucleotide long non-coding RNA is filed under the name Vulpes vulpes (red fox). Its description in RNAcentral is "lncRNA (ENSVVUG00000014870.1)". The record is from RNAcentral. Lineage: Eukaryota; Metazoa; Chordata; Mammalia; Carnivora; Canidae.